GACGAACGCUGGCGGCGUGCCUAAUACAUGCAAGUCGAGCGAAUCAAUAGGAGCUUGCUCCUGUUGAUUAGCGGCGGACGGGUGAGUAACACGUGGGCAACCUGCCUGUAAGACUGGGAUAACACCGGGAAACCGGUGCUAAUACCGGAUAAUCCUUUUCCUCUCAUGAGGGAAAGCUGAAAGUCGGUUUCGGCUGACCCUUACAGAUGGGCCCGCGGCGCAUUAGCUAGUUGGUGAGGUAACGGCGCACCAAGGCGACGAUGCGUAGCCGACCUGAGAGGGUGAUCGGCCACACUGGGACUGAGACACGGCCCAGACUCCUACGGGAGGCAGCAGUAGGGAAUCUUCCACAAUGGACGAAAGCCUGAUGGAGCAACGCCGCGUGAGCGAUGAAGGCCUUCGGGUCGUAAAGCUCUGUUGUUAGGGAAGAACAAGUACCGGAGUAACUGCCGGUACCUUGACGGUACCUAACCAGAAAGCCACGGCUAACUACGUGCCAGCAGCCGCCGUAA
RNAcentral lists this ribosomal RNA (512 nucleotides) under uncultured bacterium. RNAcentral's name for it is "partial 16S ribosomal RNA". It matches the Rfam family "Bacterial small subunit ribosomal RNA", at positions 28 to 523 of the family's 1533-position model. The record is from RNAcentral.